Molecule: ribosomal RNA, 459 nt
Filed under: uncultured bacterium
Lineage: Bacteria
Description: bacterial SSU rRNA
Rfam family: Bacterial small subunit ribosomal RNA
Source: RNAcentral
CUACGGGAGGCAGCAGUAGGGAAUAUUGGACAAUGGGUGCGAGCCUGAUCCAGCCAUGCCGCGUGCAGGAAGACGGCCUUCUGGGUUGUAAACUGCUUUUGCCAGGGGAUAAAAAGUCCCUGCGGGGAAAAUUGAAGGUACCUGGUGAAUAAGCCACGGCUAACUACGUGCCAGCAGCCGCGGUAAUACGUAGGUGGCAAGCGUUGUCCGGAUUUAUUGGGUUUAAAGGGUGCGUAGGCGGUCAUGUAAGUCAGUGGUGAAAUACUUCAGCUUAACUGGAGAGGUGCCAUUGAUACUGUGUGACUUGAGUACAGACGAGGUAGGCGGAAUUGACGGUGUAGCGGUGAAAUGCUUAGAUAUCGUCAAGAACACCGAUAGCGAAGGCAGCUUACUAGACUGUAACUGACGCUGAUGCACGAAAGCGUGGGUAGCGAACAGGAUUAGAAACCCCGGUAGUCC